This 597-nucleotide ribosomal RNA is filed under the name Triticum aestivum (bread wheat). Its description in RNAcentral is "partial small subunit ribosomal RNA". Lineage: Eukaryota; Viridiplantae; Streptophyta; Magnoliopsida; Poales; Poaceae. The record is from RNAcentral.
AUGGAAGUGGUUAUAUCUCAAAAAGAGUGUGCGGCGCGGCUGCUUACCAGGAAAUGGAACACUGACGGAGACAACAGAGCAAAGAAUGCCAAGUGGCGUGUCACUUGGAAGGCCGCACACAACCGGAUGUGGUCAUGCGACAAUGGCAACCUCGUGAUCCCAUGGAAUGGAGGCAAACCGCUAAUGGCGCCAAGCCUAACUGCCAGGCCGUUCCCCCUUCCCUCCCCUCGCCUCUCCGGCGCCAAGAGCCAUCGCCUCCUCCUCGGCGUCAGAUGCGGCUCCGGCUCCGGCUCUCCCGGAAGCGGCGAUGACGACGCACCGCCGGUCGUCAGGGCGGCGGUCAGCGCCGCCACUGAGCUCCUCAGGGCCCUCUCUCCCAAGAAGCCAAGGCAAGCUGUCGAAGCCGUCAACGCAGAGUUGGAGUCGCCUCGCAGCGUCGAGGAAGUGGUGGCUGUUCUUGAAGCCGACUACCGGCGUGCUUAUUUCCUUACUGGGAACUUCACUUUGGGCAUAUAUGCUGAAGAUUGCUUGUUUGAAGACCCGACGAUAAAGUUCCGUGGAAGGUCUAGAGAUACUCCCAGAAUCUGGAUUUGUUAG